UCCUCCAUCCGUCCUCAUGAGCCGCCGCCGCCAUUCCGCCUCCCUCCUCUCUGUCCGACGACCACGCCACCCGGAGGAAGCCGCCGCCCAAGAAGGUCCGGGGACGCCCGUUGGCGGGAGGACUACGCCGCCGCUGGGAGAAAAGAGGAAGAGGAGGUGGCACGGGGGAGACCAGCGGCGGCUACGCCUCUCCCAUCCUCGAGCCCCUAGGCACUCAUCUUUCCCUCCACCUCGUCCCGUCUCCCAUCCUCCUCAACCCUCCGCCUCAUGGCCUCAGCGGUGGCGCCGCCACGUUCUCGAUCCGGCUGGAUCGGUCGUAGGUUGCCCCCAUCAGGUGUCAUGCGCUGUGAUUCCGGAUCGGCCGUACAUCGCGUCCAAGAGAGCUGGAGUGGUUGAGGGCAUCAGGGGAACCCAUCCUGCUCGACCCCCCACUCCUGGCGGCUAUCUGUAGAGAGGAGAGCUCGAGGAUUGCUCCCAGUUCAUCGAGGAGACGCCCGACACAUAGGGUUAGCGAGGAGGAGGCUUCCUUCUAUGAUGAUGCGCAGAGGAGAAAUCACAAGGAUAUGUGCUGCUAGAUCUGACAUGGAGGUGCUAUUCAAUCCAUCAGUUGCUCGCGGCCUGCUGUGAUUAAGGAGGCCAUGUUAUUUUGGUGUGCAAGAGAGAUCUUGCAGGCUGGCAGGUACGCCUCCAACUUUAUUGGUUCAAUAUAUGUUUGCUAUAUUGACUAUCUCUAAGUGAUUGUUGUUAUAUGCGUUUCCCGUCCGCAUGGUAGUUUUUUCCAUUUGAUCUAUCUCUAGGUGGUUGAUGUUACAUGUGUUUCUACUGUGCUAAAUUUCAGUCUUAUUACAGUAGCACAUAGGAUUUCUGUAUUAUUUGCAUUUACUCCUGCUAAGAACAUGUGCUUAAUUUUUGUCUUAUUUGCCCCAAUUUACUGCUGAUAAGAACAUGUACAAAAAAUCUUCUUUUACUGUUUCUUCUUGAUGUUGAGAACAGAUGCUUUGAACAUGAGCAUGUGGGCAAUUAGUAGUCUGAAGAAGAGACAAAGAAAACAAUCUCAACAUGGUGGUUGUGCUAGGUGAGUUCCUCUUUGAUGACAUGUUGCCGUGUUGUAAAGUUAUCAUUGUUGAACUAUGUGUCCCUGGUGCCGAGCUCCCCCAAAUCAACAUUUUGAAGCUUUUUGUGUAUGGGAAAAAGUGGAAAAAGAAUUUUACCUUAGUGAUAAUCUCUCUACUGAAAUUCUUGAUGCGUGGAUACAGGUAUAUGAGCAAGAAUUCUGAGAAUUAUAUUUUCCAAUGUAAACAUUUACCAAGAAAAAAAUCCCUUAAAUAUUCUGCGAUAAGCAAUGUUGACGACAGUGAAUAUCUAAUCAUGCCUGAGUGUUUUGCCUUGCGAUGUUCAGCUUGUUCUUAUUUCUUAAAUUUUUUGUUAGCUUACUUUGUUAAGCUCCUUUUAUGGCUGGUGGGAGGAUCAUUCAGCUGACCAAGUACAGUAUGAUGGUAAUAUCAAAUCUGAGAUUAUUAAAGCAUCUUUUGUGUAGGUAUCGUAAACAAACUUAGCGCUGUAGUAUCUUUCAGAAUCAUUGUUAGGUUAAUGAUGAUGCAAGUUUCCCUUUGACAUAUUUCUCAAGCAUUGGCAAUGCUGAGGUAACGGAGAGUGUCAGCAACUACAAUUAAUUCAUUUAUCAUUGAAUUGCGAUAACAAGAGGGUAAAAUGGCAUGCAUGAUCACUCUUUUAGAAUGUAAAAAGUCUUAACUGGAAUUUAAGAAAGUUGACACCGCAUUUCUGGUUCAUUCAAUGAAAUUUUCUGCUCUUCAGUUUAACUUUCUAUGCCUGUUUGUGAUAGUGAAGGUCGAUAUUUAAUUUUCCUCUAUCUAUGUGGAGGUCUCAAGAAAGAGAAAAGAACUUGUGGUUCAAGCAGCAAGAA
This is a long non-coding RNA of Triticum aestivum (bread wheat), 1924 nucleotides long. RefSeq lists it as uncharacterized. The record is from RefSeq and is a predicted model, not a curated record. The transcript is spliced from 4 exons. Lineage: Eukaryota; Viridiplantae; Streptophyta; Magnoliopsida; Poales; Poaceae.